Molecule: ribosomal RNA, 485 nt
Filed under: uncultured bacterium
Lineage: Bacteria
Description: partial 16S ribosomal RNA
Rfam family: Bacterial small subunit ribosomal RNA
Source: RNAcentral
GACGAACGCUGGCGGCGUGCUUAACACAUGCAAGUCGAGCGAUGAAGUUCCUUCGGUGGAUUUGAUCUAUUUCUAGUGGCGGACGGGUGAGUAACGCGUGGGUAACCUGCCUUAUACAGGGGGAUAACAGUCAGAAAUGGCUGCUAAUACCGCAUAAGCGCACAGAGCUGCAUGGCUCAGUGUGAAAAACUCCGGUGGUAUAAGAUGGGCCCGCGUUGGAUUAGCUUGUUGGUGGGGUAACGGCCCACCAAGGCGACGAUCCAUAGCCGGCCUGAGAGGGUGAACGGCCACAUUGGGACUGAGACACGGCCCAGACUCCUACGGGAGGCAGCAGUGGGGAAUAUUGCACAAUGGGGGAAACCCUGAUGCAGCGACGCCGCGUGAAGGAAGAAGUAUCUCGGUAUGUAAACUUCUAUCAGCAGGGAAGAUAGUGACGGUACCUGACUAAGAAGCCCCGGCUAACUACGUGCCAGCCGCCGCAGUAA